CCUACGGGUGGCUGCAGUGAGGAAUAUUGGUCAAUGGGCGCGAGCCUGAACCAGCCAAGUAGCGUGAAGGAUGACUGCCCUACGGGUUGUAAACUUCUUUUGUAAGGGAAUAAAGUGCGGCACGUGUCCCGUUUUGUAUGUACUUUAUGAAUAAGGAUCGGCUAACUCCGUGACAGCAGCCGCGGUAAUACGGAGGACCCGAGCGUUAUCCGGAUUUAUUGGGUUUAAAGGGAGCGUAGAUGGGUUGUUAAGUCAGUUGUGAAAGUUUGGGGCUCAACCGUAAAAUUGCAAUUGAUACUGGCAGCCUUGAGUACAGUUGAGGUAGGCGGAAUUCGUGGUGUAGCGGUGAAAUGCUUAGAGAUCACGAAGAACUCCGAUUGCGAAGGCAGCUUACUAAACGGCCACUGACAUUGAUGCUCGAAAGUGUGGGUAUCAAACAGGAUUAGAUACCCGAGUAGUC
This 460-nucleotide ribosomal RNA is filed under the name uncultured bacterium. RNAcentral's name for it is "partial 16S ribosomal RNA". It matches the Rfam family "Bacterial small subunit ribosomal RNA", at positions 338 to 795 of the family's 1533-position model. The record is from RNAcentral.